RNAcentral lists this ribosomal RNA (302 nucleotides) under uncultured Tomentella. RNAcentral describes it as "eukaryotic LSU rRNA". The stretch from base 247 to 302 matches the Rfam family "Eukaryotic large subunit ribosomal RNA", at positions 1 to 56 of the family's 3401-position model. Lineage: Eukaryota; Fungi; Basidiomycota; Agaricomycetes; Thelephorales; Thelephoraceae. The record is from RNAcentral.
GGGCAUGCCUGUUUGAGUAUCAUGAACACCUCAACUCUCAUGGUUUGCCAUGAUGAGCUUGGACUUUGGGGGUCUUGCUGGCCUGCGGUCAGCUCCUCUCAAACGAAUCAGCUUGCCAGUGUUUGGUGGCAACACAGGUGUGAUAAAUAUCUACAUUUGUGGUUUUCUGCCAGAUAACCUUCAGUGAUGGAGGUUCGCUGCAGCUCAUAAACGUCUCUCCUCAGUGAAGACAGCUCUGUGAAUGUUUGAUCUCAAAUCAGGUAGGACUACCCGCUGAACUUAAGCAUAUCAAUAAGCGGAGG